Molecule: ribosomal RNA, 292 nt
Filed under: uncultured Acidobacteriota bacterium
Lineage: Bacteria; Pseudomonadati; Acidobacteriota
Description: uncultured Acidobacteria bacterium partial 16S ribosomal RNA
Source: RNAcentral
GGACUACCGGGGUAUCUAAUCCUGUUUGCUACCCACGCUUUCGCGCCUCAGCGUCAGUUACUGUCCAGGUGGCCGCCUUCGCCACUGGUGUUCCUCCUCAUCUCUACGCAUUUCACCGCUACACGAGGAAUUCCACCACCCUCUCCAGUACUCUAGCCUUCCAGUCUCGGAUGCAGUUCCUGGGUUGAGCCCAGGGAUUGCACAUCCGACUUAAAAAACCGCCUACGCGCCCUUUACGCCCAAUAAUUCCGAAUAACGCUUGCCCCCUCUGUAUUACCGCGGCUGCUGGCAC